CCUACGGGUGGCAGCAGUGAGGAAUAUUGGUCAAUGGCCGAGAGGCUGAACCAGCCAAGUCGCGUGAGGGAAGACGGCCCUACGGGUUGUAAACCUCUUUUGUCGGGGAGCAAAGCGAGUCACGUGUGACUUUUUGAAAGUACCUGAAGAAAAAGCAUCGGCUAACUCCGUGCCAGCAGCCGCGGUAAUACGGAGGAUGCGAGCGUUAUCCGGAUUUAUUGGGUUUAAAGGGGGCGCAUGGGGAUGGGCAAGUCAGCGGUAAAAUUGCGGGGCUAAACCCAGUACUGCCGUUGAUACUGCAUGCCUUGAGUGCGGUAGAGGUAUGCGGAAUGCGUGGUGUAGCGGUGAAAUGCAUAGAUAUCACGCAGAACUCCGAUUGCGAAGGCAGCAUACCGGCGCGCAACUGACGUUCAUGCACGAAAGCGUGGGUAUCGAACAGGAUUAGAUACCCGGGUAGUC
RNAcentral lists this ribosomal RNA (459 nucleotides) under uncultured bacterium. RNAcentral describes it as "partial 16S ribosomal RNA". It matches the Rfam family "Bacterial small subunit ribosomal RNA", at positions 338 to 795 of the family's 1533-position model. The record is from RNAcentral.